This 253-nucleotide ribosomal RNA is filed under the name uncultured bacterium. RNAcentral describes it as "partial 16S ribosomal RNA". It matches the Rfam family "Bacterial small subunit ribosomal RNA", at positions 524 to 776 of the family's 1533-position model. The record is from RNAcentral.
UACGUAGGGAGCAAGCGUUGUCCGGAAUCAUUGGGCGUAAAGCGCGCGUAGGCGGCCUCAUAAGUCCGUUGUGAAAGUCAAAGGCUCAACCUUUGAAAGCCGAUGGAUACUGCGAGGCUAGAGUCCGGAAGAGGCGAGUGGAAUUCCUGGUGUAGCGGUGGAAUGCGCAGAUAUCAGGAGGAACACCAAUAGCGAAGGCAGCUCGCUGGGACGGUACUGACGCUAAGGCGCGAAAGCGUGGGGAGCGAACAGG